GACAGAGGGUGCAAACGUUGCUCGGAAUUACUGGGCGUAAAGCGCGUGUAGGCUGCUUCGCAAGUCGGAUGUGAAAGCCCUGGGCUCAACCCAGGAAGUGCAUUCGAAACUGCAGAGCUGGAGUCCUGGAGAGGAAGGCGGAAUUCUCGGUGUAGAGGUGAAAUUCGUAGAUAUCGAGAGGAACACCGGUGGCGAAGGCGGCCUUCUGGACAGUGACUGACGCUGAGACGCAAAAGCGUGGGGAGCAAACAGG
RNAcentral lists this ribosomal RNA (253 nucleotides) under uncultured bacterium. Its description in RNAcentral is "partial 16S ribosomal RNA". It matches the Rfam family "Bacterial small subunit ribosomal RNA", at positions 524 to 776 of the family's 1533-position model. The record is from RNAcentral.